This 74-nucleotide transfer RNA is filed under the name Gossypium harknessii. RNAcentral describes it as "tRNA-Phe". The record is from RNAcentral. Lineage: Eukaryota; Viridiplantae; Streptophyta; Magnoliopsida; Malvales; Malvaceae.
CCCAUAGUUGCCCCCCAGAAACUGGGUUUCACCUCUUCCCUGUACUACCAAAAACCAGAGGCCCAAUUCCCGAG